This 76-nucleotide transfer RNA is filed under the name Ammonifex sp. RNAcentral's name for it is "tRNA-Lys". It matches the Rfam family "tRNA". Rfam says of the family: Transfer RNA (tRNA) molecules are approximately 80 nucleotides in length. Their secondary structure includes four short double-helical elements and three loops (D, anti-codon, and T loops). Lineage: Bacteria; Bacillati; Bacillota; Clostridia; Thermoanaerobacterales; Thermoanaerobacteraceae. The record is from RNAcentral.
CCGCCCGUAGCUCAACGGUAGAGCACCGUGCUCUUUACACGGGGCAUGGAGGGUUCGAGUCCCUCCCGGCGGCCCA